CGCGGGAUUAUCCGGAUUUAUUGGGUUUAAAGGGUCCGUAGGCGGAUGUGUAAGUCAGUGGUGAAAUCUCGCAGCUUAACUGCGAAACUGCCAUUGAUACUGCAGGUCUUGAGUAAAUUUGAAGUGGCUGGAAUAAGUAGUGUAGCGGUGAAAUGCAUAGAUAUUACUUAGAACACCAAUUGCGAAGGCAGGUCACUAAGAUUUAACUGACGCUGAUGGACGAAAGCGUGGGGAGCGAACAGGAUUAGAUACCCUGGUAGUCCACGCCGUAAACGAUGCUAACUCGUUUUUUGUGCUUCGGCAUGAGAGACCAAGCGAAAGUGAUAAGUUAGCCACCUGGGGAGUACGUUCGCAAGAAUG
RNAcentral lists this ribosomal RNA (360 nucleotides) under uncultured bacterium. RNAcentral describes it as "bacterial SSU rRNA". It matches the Rfam family "Bacterial small subunit ribosomal RNA", at positions 533 to 896 of the family's 1533-position model. The record is from RNAcentral.